CAUGCACAGGCAAUGGCACUGGAAGAAUUCACGGGUUUCUUACUAUUCCCGUGGUCUCUUAGUGGCAUCACUAGUGCUGG
This 80-nucleotide microRNA precursor is filed under the name Heliconius melpomene (postman butterfly). Its description in RNAcentral is "mir-263 microRNA precursor family". It matches the Rfam family "mir-263 microRNA precursor family". Lineage: Eukaryota; Metazoa; Arthropoda; Insecta; Lepidoptera; Nymphalidae. The record is from Rfam by way of RNAcentral.